GUCAUGUGUCACGGUAAGAUGUGUAGGAUAAAAAAAGGUGAUGGUCAAGCUCCGAUAUGAUGGAAGGCAUGAGAAUAUCUAGGGUGAAAUGUCUGAGUAUGAAAUGAAAGGUAGGUGAGUAACUGAGAUCACCCAAGUAUGCCGAGAAGACUAGACCCAAGGCGUCAAUAGCCCCAUAAUCCAUCGAAAAGCAGUAAUCACAAACAGGAAGUCAAAUCUCGAUGUCGAAACAUCCAACUAGAUGGCUAUGCCCCAGUAUGCAAUGAGGACAGCAUGGAAUAAUCCAAUGAUCUCCAUAUCCCUCGCCAGAUGCUCCAAUGUCAAGAACCAAUCUGAUCUCCCUCCAAAAGAUGGAUAUGCCUCAGUGUAAGGGAUCCAAUAGGGUGACUAUGCUCCAAUGAAAAAUACUCUCCAUCCUGGCUAUGCCCCAGUGUAAAGUAGUGUAUCCGAGUCAACAAAUCAAUCAAUCUCUACUCCUGGUGCCAAAACGGAAACAUCUCAACAUAAUCCAUAUGAAUCAGAAUCCCCGAGCUAUAUGAAUGUGAAUGAGGUGGCUAUGCCCCAGUAUAAACCAACUGAAGUGACUAUGCUCC
RNAcentral lists this long non-coding RNA (593 nucleotides) under Vitis vinifera (wine grape). Its description in RNAcentral is "long non-coding RNA (VVIN_LNC005841)". Lineage: Eukaryota; Viridiplantae; Streptophyta; Magnoliopsida; Vitales; Vitaceae. The record is from RNAcentral.